This 577-nucleotide ribosomal RNA is filed under the name uncultured bacterium. RNAcentral's name for it is "bacterial SSU rRNA". It matches the Rfam family "Bacterial small subunit ribosomal RNA", at positions 338 to 917 of the family's 1533-position model. The record is from RNAcentral.
CCUACGGGAGGCAGCAGUGAGGAAUAUUGGACAAUGGGCGCAAGCCUGAUCCAGCCAUGCCGCGUGCAGGAUGACGGUCCUAUGGAUUGUAAACUGCUUUUGCACAGGAAGAAACAACGCUACGUGUAGCGUCUUGACGGUACUGUGAGAAUAAGGAUCGGCUAACUCCGUGCCAGCAGCCGCGGUAAUACGGGGGAUCCAAGCGUUAUCCGGAAUCAUUGGGUUUAAAGGGUCCGUAGGCGGUUUAGUAAGUCAGUGGUGAAAGCCCAUCGCUCAACGGUGGAACGGCCAUUGAUACUGCUAGACUUGAAUUAUUAGGAAGUAACUAGAAUAUGUAGUGUAGCGGUGAAAUGCUUAGAGAUUACAUGGAAUACCAAUUGCGAAGGCAGGUUACUACUAAUUGAUUGACGCUGAUGGACGAAAGCGUGGGUAGCGAACAGGAUUAGAUACCCUGGUAGUCCACGCCGUAAACGAUGGAUACUAGCUGUUGGGAGCAAUUUCAGUGGCUAAGCGAAAGUGAUAAGUAUCCCACCUGGGGAGUACGUUCGCAAGAAUGAAACUCAAAUGAAUUGACCGG